This 1488-nucleotide long non-coding RNA is filed under the name Anser brachyrhynchus (Pink-footed goose). RNAcentral describes it as "lncRNA (ENSABRG00000022085.1)". Lineage: Eukaryota; Metazoa; Chordata; Aves; Anseriformes; Anatidae. The record is from RNAcentral.
UCCUGUAGCUCUACAAAUAAUGCAAACAACGUUCUGCUGCACCCUUUUUUUUUUUUUCAAAUAACAUUUGAACAUAUGUUUUAUAUGGAGAUGCUGAUGGACAGCAACAUCUGCUGCUCCCUGUCGGCUCACGCACUCUUAUUUGGAUUGUAAUUACUUCAUCGGCUGCGAGCUGUCCUGUGUUUGCCCACUAUCUGUUUCUGUCAGGUCUCGGGCUCCUACAAACUACCCAUUAUGUAGUGAGGAUAAUUAAAUCUCCCCUCCACCAGGCAGGUCUGAGCAGUGCAAGAAGGGCCUUCCUUGUCCGGGCAGCUGCCAAAGAAGAUGCAGCUCAUAAUGAUGCCUUAAUCACCUGCCUGCUAGACAAUGGACGGGACCACCUAUUUGUUUCAAACAAGCUAUUUUAGCAGCUGUCAGAUGCUAAUGGCUUUCAGCUGCUGACAACCUGUGCCCUAUGCAAACCAGGGGACAUAUCAUGGAAAUGUGCAUAAAUAUUCAUGUGUGACUAACAAAACCAAAAGUGCAAGUAUGGUUAUCAGAGCUCUCGCACGAAUAUAUCGUGGCCUGCCCUGUUGUGUUGGUUUCAGUACGAUGAAUGAGAUGCAAAUGUUUUAAAGUGAUGUUGCCCUUUUAUUUUUGAGAGAAAAAGUCCGCUGAAGGCAGUGGGACUGCAGAGAUUCUGGAUAACUGUGGUGAGAGGACAUAUUCAGAUUAUGGUACAUGGUACGAAUAAAGAAGAUUCUGUAACAAUGGAGUCAGUGGAAAGACCAAUGGUCAUCUUGAAACUCUCCCUUGGCGUAAUGCCAGAAGUAACCACGAGACAGGAGGUGAGAGCCCAAACUCAAGACUGGCCCAGCCCAAUGUCAGCAGACAGCCUCUGUCAUCGUCUAAAAAGAACGUUUCGGUAUUGCUGGGACUUCCUGCUUCUCCACCUCUCUUCAUCAGAAUACGAUGUUCAGAUACAACUGAUGAGGCAUUCGGGCUCCGAUAGCAUGUGCUUCCACCCAGUUCCUCCAGCUAGCUCCGUGGAAGCUCUCCCGGCACCUCGCACAGACCUAGAGACCCCCUCUGUGCCUCACCAGAGGAGCUGUGGUGACACGGCUCCGCACAGCAGGGCUCUCCUGGGCUCCGGCGGGUGACCAUCGCAGCACUCUGCUAUGAAAUCACUUGAAACAGCAAGAGCAGAACUGCUGCAUGAUUCGUACAGGUGAAGGUUUGAGCCUGCCCCGGGGCAAAAAUAAUCCCGUGAAACUCCCAGGGGCUCGCUCACAUCUCCUGCCCUGAGCUGGCUCUCGGGCCCGGCCUCGUGCUUGUGCAUCUCUGGGGGCAAACCUGGCCGGGCACGGGGCCGCCACGUCGGCUCGGGACAGGAGAGUCCUGCAUGGCCCCCGGCUGUCACUGGGCUUUACCUCGGGGAGAAACCUCCACAAAACCACUCGUAGAAUUUUUAUAGCAAAAUAAAAGCUGCCUGGAAUGAUUUGUUGGUCA